AUGAAUAACCUAGGUCGUUUUGUCCCCAGCCUCACCUAUUCGCUCCCACGCCGGCCGCCGCCCCUCGCGGCUGUGACCAACCUCCAUCCCGGCGCGCCGCCCUUCUUCACUCCGCUGCGGUCCUCCAUCCCGGCGGCCGCCAGCACCACUCCCCUGCAACACUGCAUCCCAGUGCGCCGCCCCUCGUCACCACUCCCCUAUGGUCCUCUCCUCCGUCCCGGCGCGCCGCCAGCACCACUCCCCUGCGACUCUGCAUCCCGGCGCGCCGCCCCUCGUCACCCCUCCCCUGCGACCAUUGGUGAAUCCAAGGAACAAAUGUUUGAGCCCUAG
This 330-nucleotide ribosomal RNA is filed under the name Triticum aestivum (bread wheat). RNAcentral's name for it is "partial small subunit ribosomal RNA". Lineage: Eukaryota; Viridiplantae; Streptophyta; Magnoliopsida; Poales; Poaceae. The record is from RNAcentral.